Molecule: long non-coding RNA, 556 nt
Organism: Bufo bufo (common toad)
Lineage: Eukaryota; Metazoa; Chordata; Amphibia; Anura; Bufonidae
Exons: 2
Source: RefSeq, a predicted model, not a curated record
CUAUUACAUGUAGGUUAGAGCCAUGUACACAGGCAGGGGUGACACAGCUAUUACAUGUAGGUUAGAUCCAUGUACACAGGCAGGGGUGACACAGCUAUUACAUGUAUGUUAGAGCCAUGUACACAGGCAGGGGUGACACAGCUAUUACAUGUAGGUUAGAUCCAUGUACACAGGCAGGGGUGACACAGCUAUUACAUGUAGGUUAUAUCCAUGUACACAGGCAGGGGUGACACAGCUAUCACAUGUAGGUUAUAUCCAUGUACACAGGCAGGGGUGACACAGCUAUCACAUGUAGGUUAUAUCCAUGUACACAGGCAGGGGUGACACAGCUAUUACAUGUAGGUUAGAUCCAUGUACACAGGCAGGGGUGACACAGCUAUUACAUGUAUGUUAGAGCCAUGUACACAGGCAGGGGUGACACAGCUAUUACAUGUAGGUUAUAUCCAUGUACACAGGCAGGGAUGACACAGCUAUUACAUGUAGGUUAUAUCCAUGUACACAGGCAGGGGUGACACAGAUAUUACAUGUAGGUCAGAUCCAUGUACACAGGCAGGGG